ACGGGACCUGGCCGUAGAAGCAAAGCGGAAAGAAAAUGGCGGCCGUGGCUGCGGAGCCAGGAGCUGUUGCGGUAUCAACAACAACAGCGGGGGACUGUGGUGAGCACGAACCGGUGCCAGCUGUGCCGGGGGCCAAACUCGACUCCGAUGCAACGCAGCAGUACGCGCCAGUAAUAGACCUUGUUCACCAACUCAAGGAUGGGGAUGCAGUUCAGGAAUGCGGCCAGGUCCAAAUGGAGCUAGUGAGCAGGCCAGACCAAGAAGCCGCGGGAAAAGUCCUCGCUGCUUGUGCAGAGGAUGAACACAUCGAUACAGGAUGUCUCAUGGUCGGCGUAGAAAAUACCGAUAACCAUUCUCGCGAGGGCUAUGGUUCGAAAUACACAAUGUCGAGGGCAGAACGUUUGAAACAAUUUUUUUCGCCUAAUGUUGAUCCUGCAAACGAGCUCAGUAAGCACGAGCCCUACGCCUGCCAUCAGAAUAGCUCCAUCUCCGAUUCACAGCCAUCGGUGGUCUUUUUGCAUUCGUUCCCUGCGCAUCCUGUGACUACGGAGGCUGGGCUGUCGUUGGCAGAACCAGCAGAGCCCAUGAUCAAUUACUAUCAAAACACAGAAUUAACCCAACCUACUAUUAUCGAGUGUGACUAUAGAGCUUUAAUCAAACCGUCCCACGAGGCAGAACUGGAGCCCGAAUCAGCAGAUGAUGCUCCUUCUGGUACCGAGUACAAGGCCGAGUCUUCGGAAGAUGCCUCUCUUGAACACCCCCAGUCCAUAGAACACGUCGACUCUCCGCCAGUUCUAGAGACGGAGAGACUCCUUGGAACACCCAUGGAGACUGGAUACAUUUAUGACUUUUCGAGCAUCACAAACCAGAACUCUCCGAGUCCCGAGCUUCCUGUAAUGGCAGUGGGUCAGGUUCCCUCCUCGGCAGAACUUGGGGACUCGUGCUCACGACAGCGGAGUUUGGAAACGAACUUCCACGAGAGCGAGACCGUAAUGAAACCCCCUCACCCCAUGCCCGUUGCUGAAACUGAGGAGGUACAGUCCGAGUCAGUGGACAAUCUGAUACCUGGUUCCGAAGUUCGAGUAUCUCUGGAUCACAUCAUCGACGACGCACUGGUGGUGUCCUUUCGGUUAGGCGAGAAGAUCUUCUCUGGGGUUCUGAUGGACCUCUCUAAAAGGUUUGGACCCUAUGGAAUUCCAAUCACUGUGUUCCCAAAGAGAGAAUACAAGGAUAAACCUGAAUCUAUGCAGCUAAAGACAGAACCAUUCCAGCCAGAGAAGGUGGAAAAGCCAGUCCAGGAAAACCCUGACAGCCAAGUUGUCGCAAUCCCCGAACCAAACCCUGACCCCCAGCCUAAGCUUAACCCAUGGACUUCAAAACCUCCGCCACUGUUUCAGGAGGGAGCCCCUUACCCUCCACCAUUGUUCAUCAGGGACACCUACAACCAGUCGUUACCUCAGCCGCCCCCCCGCAAGAUCAAGCGGCCCAAGCGCAGGCUGUAUCGCGAGGAGCCCACCUCUAUCAUGAACGCCAUCAAGUUGCGGCCCCGCCAGGUGCUCUGUGACAAGUGCAAGGGGACUGUCAUGACCGUGGACAAGAGGGAGCCACGUAGAGGCCCUGUGUCGGACUCUAGGGGCGAGGACGCCAAGCGGAGACGCAACGACAGUGCAGCUACUGUCAGCAAGCGGCCGCGUAAUGACCCUCGCUCUGAGGAGAAGCGCCAUGCUGCUGAGGUGUCCAAACGACAGGCCUCAGGGAUACGAGUCUCCUCUUCCUCUUCUCUGGGCCAGGUGAAGGGCGGAGCUGGAGGGAACAGGGUUCUGAGGACAACAUCCACCACAACAACAUCACCGGUCAACAGCAGCUCCAGAGUCCAGCUCAAUGCCAAGAAAGUGCUGCAGAGCAAAAAUGUUGAUCACUCCAAGGCACGGGAGGUGCUGAAAUUGGCCAAGGCGCAGAAGAGGCAGAGGGAGACUACAGUGGUCACUGGUAGCAGUGGCAACGCCAAGACGAUGACGAGGGCCGCUGCCCUGCAGGAGGCCCACGCCCACCAGAAGGUCCACUUCACCCGACGGCUGCAGCAGAUCAGCGGGGUGGGACCAAGCAACGCCACCCCUCUCCCACCCAGGAUGCGCAUCAAGCCUCAAAGGUACCGUAAUGAAGAGAAUGACUCUUCUACAUGUAAGCCGCCUUGCCUCGAGAAAGUGCCGGGAAGUGGCCGUUUGUCCCCUCCAAAGCCAGGCGCGCCCCGCUGCACCUCCACGCGCUCCUCCUCCUCCUCCUGCUCCACAGGCGAGGCCACUGCUGCUGAAAACCAGGGUCCAGAUAAAGGGCCAGAACCUGAGCUCAGUCCUCAGACUCAAUCCCAGCCCCAAGUGGAACCCCUCACAGCCACGGAGCACAGCGACCCCAAGGUGGAGCCAGAGGAGCAGGGGGGGCGGGAGGAGAGGCGGGAGACGCGCGGCAGCAAGGCUGGCAACCUUGUGGUGUACAUGACCCUUAACCCCAGCCAGCCUGACUCCUCUAAUACCUCCAUGUGCAGCAUUGAUAGUGCAGAUGACUUAAAGUCUUCAAACUCAGAGUGUAGCUCCACCGAGACCUUUGACUUUCCCCCUCCCGGUGAUUUGCACUCGCCCCCCGCCCCUGGCACGUCCUCAGCAGUCACUGACCCCUCGCCUGCACCUACGGAAGAGAAAACCCCUCGUAAAUCUCAGAAAGUGUUUUCCAAAAAUGUGUCUAAGUGUGUCUCUCUGGACGGCAGGAGCAUUUGCGUAGGGGACAUCGUUUGGGCCAAAAUAUAUGGUUUCCCUUGGUGGCCAGCCCGUGUCUUAGGCAUCCAGAUCAGCCGCAAAGAUAAUGGGCUCUUAGUCAGGCAGGAGGCCCGUGUCGCCUGGUUCGGUUCACCCACCACCUCCUUCUUGGCACUUGCACAGGUCGCCCCCUUUCUAGAAAGCUUCCAGUCACGCUUCGACAAGAAGAGAAAGGGCUUGUACCGUAAAGCCAUCACAGAGGCAGCCAAGGCUGCCAAGCAGCUCACUCCUGAGGUUCGCGCCUUGCUUACGCAAUUCGAGACGUGAGGUGGUGUGCUUUGGGGAAAAGGAAAGGUAGGCAAACAUGCCCCCCCUCCCCCCUUCCCCUCCCCUGCUAGUCACCUACCAUGUCCCUUCACCUUCCUGGCAGAAAGAAACUAAAUAUUUCAGGCCAGACAACCAGGACACCUCUUUUUUUUUCUAUUUAUCAAAAAGGGACUGAAUGGGUUGGGGUUAUACACAUUACUGCAUAUAUAAAAAUGGCAGUGUGUUUUUAUUUUAUCAUCCUUAUCAAAUUUCACUUAUUUAUCCAAAUUGGUGGAAAUCUGGUCGUUUUAUUUUUAACUUUUCUUUACAGAAUGGUUGGCGAUUGAAAUAUUCUCCUUAUCUUGAGGCCUUUAAGUUUCACUCUAUUUGCAAAGAAGCUUAUGUUAUGUUCUAACACCAUGGUUCAUAGGUCUGCUUGAUUGGCUGCCAAUUGUCAAAAUCUUAAGAGACAAAAAGUGUAUUUCUUUUAGUCUAUGCAACAAACGGUUCAGUCUCAGAUACUGUGAACGGAAAGUUACAGGAUCUAAGCAGCAGUAAAUAUGAUGUAUCUGUGCUGGUGGAAGACAUGUACUGUAGCUGUGAUGUGACGAGGAAGUGGACCCUGGUGGAUUUGAAGAGCGAGCAGUCAUAGGGGCUUAGGUACCUGCUGUAUCUCAGACACAGUCAGAGCUGACUGGCUGUGGGAGCUGGCUGCCGGGCCGGUAAGCUCUUGAUCACCGUGUGGCACACUGCCAGCUAGGGCUUUCCAGACAGUUGAGCUGGGGUUGUGAGGAUGUGCCUGUAAGCCAAAGUCACCUCAAGUGCCGGUGAGAGGAGGAUGGUGCCCUGUUUCUAAUCCUCUCUGAAAACAGAGAUGGUUGCAGGGCAGUAAAUACAGUACUGAGAGUGUGCCCGCUCAACCGGGCAGUGGGCACAUCCACCCCCCUCAUACCUGUCCAGUGCUACAUCAUUUGGUCCCCUUGGGCCACCUCACCUCUCCCCCUUUCUCUCUCCUCAUCUGACUCUGUCCUGUCUGUAGUCUCUAUACCUUAUGCUCCUCAGUUAACCAAGACUGUUUUAUUACUCUCUGGUCUUCCUAUCUAGCUCCUUGAUUUUGCAUGCUGUUAUACAUAGAAUGAUGCCCAAUUUGUUUUAAAAUCACUGAUUUGAAUUGUCUGCAUCGGGACAUUUUAAACAAAGAUGUUAGUUGAUGGAGCGCUGGCUUACUAUGAAAAUGAUAGAAUCAACUAGCAUUGACAGAGGGAAGCCAUUUUAGUUACUCCUCUCAUAUACGUGUGGUAUGGCACGUUACAGGGAUGAACAAUUUUUUCUCAGUUAUUUUGUAAAACUUUUACUAUGGGUUUGCCAUGUCUUGUUGACUUGUACUAAGUAGUUCAGUGAUUUCUCAGAGUUCUCAGUGUUCAGCUGUUACUCAACCCUAUUUGAGUUGGAAUGUGUUUGACUUUAUUUGGUGCUUCUGAACUCGAUCUUCUAUCACUUCACUGCUUGGCUGAUCUCAUACGACUGCAAAUCUUGAUUUUAUAUAUUAUGUACAGUACAAUCUGUAUCAAAUUAUUUUUAGUGGAUUUUUCUGAUGAAUAAUGGAAAAAGGUUUUUUUGUUUGGCUGAAGUUGGGGGAGGGUGGUGAGGAAAGGUUACCUCACCUGUUGUGUAAUUAUAUGGGUUCAGAACAGAUUUGACCAUUUCAUUACCAAUGACAAAUUACAUUUCCUAAAGAUGUUUGUUCAUUUACCUACCUACAUACCUAUCCACUCUGACUAAAUAUUAAGGGACAGACAGUAAGACCAACAUCGCCUCACCUUUGCCCUUUUGGCCCGAACAGGUAGAGAUCAGAGGCUUAUUGCUUGGUAGAGUACACUGACCUGACCAUUGUUACAAGCAGAGACAAAGUGUAUUAUGAUGGUUGGCUCUGUUUCUUCUAUUUUGGACAUCAUCUGUUUGCAGAUCAGAGAAGGCUGUAUAGGUGGGAAAAAACUGUUGGAAAAAGUAACAGUUGAAGAAUACUUGUGUAAAUGUUUUCUGAUGUUUUUAAAAAGUAUUAUAAAUAAAAUGUCAACUUCAAGAAUCUUACCUAGUUGUCUUCAUUUUAGUGCUCCUACUUCCAUUAACACCUACAAAUCCAAUGCCAUUUAUAAGGCUUCAGUUUCACCUUGAAACAAGCUGGAAUAAAAACAUUGGUCAUUUGGAAUUUGGGAUAUUUCUAUUGUCCCCCUCGUACUAAAAUGGGGGCAUUUUAAGUUGACUAUGACCAUGCCUUUUAAAUUGUGGCUUGUGGUCUUUAUAAUAGCUGCCAUUAACUGCAAAUGUUUGUGGGGCUUUUAUGAAAUAGCAGACCUGUAGAAAACUACUUGCCAGUCAAGCCCCUGUUUACCACUUGAGGCUAUUGGUACAUUAACAAUGAGAGGAAAGGGCUGAAUGUGGAGAAUUUUUUGGGGGGAGUAAAAUCAUUCCUUUUAUUGAACAGAUUUUCUUACCUGCAAACAGAUCUAGGACAUUGACGUCAUAUGCUAAUAGAAGCCAUUGUUCAAUGGCUGUCAGUCAGUGUAUCUGAAGCAAUGCAUCUUUGAAUGGCAUUGUGGAAUUUAACGUUUAGGGGGAGUUUGAUGGUUCUGUCCUCCUAAUUGUUUGUAAAUGAAAUAGUACUGAGAAGUAAUGUUUUGGUUUGAAAUACAAAUGAAAAGGCUACUUACCUUCCUAAUAUUGAGUUGCACCCCUGUUUGCCCUAAGAUCAGCCUCAAUUUGUCAGGGAAUGGACUACAAGGUGUUGAAAGCAUUCCACAAGGAUGCUGGCCCAUGUUGAUGCCAAUGAUUCCCACAGUUGUCAAGUUGGCUGGAUAUCCUUUGGUUGGUAGACCAUUUUUGAUACACGCAAACCGGUGCGCCCGGCAUCUACUAUCGUACCCCAUUCAAAGGCACUUAAAUAUUUUGUCUUUCCUAUUCACCCUCUGAAUGGCACAAAUCCAUAUUUAACCUGUCUCCUCUCCUUUAUCUACAGUGAUUGAAGUGGAUUAAAGGGGUAACAUCAAUAAGAGAUAGUUGCGUUCACCUGGUCAGUCUGGCAUGGAAAGAGCAGGUGUUCCUAAUGUUUUGUUCACUCAGUGUAUAUGUCCAUGUUCGGUAGCAGCAUACACAUAACAUUACGUAAAUAAAGGAGACGAUCCACACAGCAGCAGCAUUUCAAGGUUAACUACGUUAAAUCUCAAAGACAUUUGAAUAAUCAGUAGAGUAAAUGCAUGGCAGACCAGCAAACUGCUGAAAACGUUAUCACAGAUUACAAUGACUCAUUUGUGAUGUCUAUCUUGGUUUUACCACUGUCAAUCAGAAACCUGCUAGGCUGAGGCAUCCGUGCAGCAGAACUCAGGUAUAGAUCCCUCAUUGAGACGCACAGGACCCGUCCCAGAAUGCCUUAGAGGUGUCCUUGAGCCCAGAAAUGGCGCCAUUGCAACAUGAACAAUGCACCUGCUACAACGCUGAAGGGCUGCUGAUGGGUCCUUUACACUGCCAUUGGUUGAGAGACUGUCGGACGGAAGGACAUGUCCAGAAUUGGAGACGUCAUCGAUAUAAUUAUUUUUAUUUAAGUAUCGGAAGAAGGAACAUUUAUAUAUUUAUAAUAAAUUGCAGACCUACUCCAUCUCUGGGCCUGUCCAUCAUGCUGAAUACCAUUUGAUUUCUUUGAGCAGGCGUCCAUGUCCACAAGCAUGUGACCUUAGUUUGAGUGAGGACAUCUGCAGAGUAGACGAGCACUCUGACCAUUAUAGAUAUCUAUUACAUUUGUAUUACAUACAUGUUGACAGGACACAGGAUUUUGCAGGGUUUUUAGUAUGUUGAUCAGUGAUCUUGAAAUGCAAAGACAAAAAAAUGAAUAAAAACAAUACUAUGUAAAACAUUUAUAUUAAUGCAAUAAAGAUUGCAUGUGCUAUGCUAUUACAGUGCA
Salmo salar (Atlantic salmon) is the source of this 7011-nucleotide non-coding RNA. The record is from RefSeq and is a predicted model, not a curated record. Lineage: Eukaryota; Metazoa; Chordata; Actinopteri; Salmoniformes; Salmonidae.